GAUGAACGCUGGCUACAGGCUUAACACAUGCCAGUCGAGGGGAAACGGCAUCGAAAGCUUGCUUUUGAUGGGCGUCGACCGGCGCACGGGUGAGUAACGCGUAUCCAACCUGCCCAUCACUUGGGAAUAACCUUGCGAAAGUAAGACUAAUGCCCAAUGACAUCCCACGAAGGCAUCCGAAUGGGAUUAAAGAUUUAUCGGUGAUGGAUGGGGAUGCGUCUGAUUAGCUUGUUGGCGGGGUGACGGCCCACCAAGGCAACGAUCAGUAGGGGUUCUGAGAGGAAGGUCCCCCACAUUGGAACUGAGACACGGUCCAAACUCCUACGGGAGGCAGCAGUGAGGAAUAUUGGUCAAUGGGCGAGAGCCUGAACCAGCCAAGUAGCGUGCAGGAGGACGGCCCUAUGGGUUGUAAACUGCUUUUAUAAGGGAAUAAAGUGGGUCACGUGUGACUUUUUGCAUGUACCUUAUGAAUAAGGACCGGCUAAUUCCGUG
Molecule: ribosomal RNA, 492 nt
Filed under: uncultured bacterium
Lineage: Bacteria
Description: partial 16S ribosomal RNA
Rfam family: Bacterial small subunit ribosomal RNA
Source: RNAcentral